Molecule: unclassified non-coding RNA, 226 nt
Filed under: Bombus terrestris (buff-tailed bumblebee)
Lineage: Eukaryota; Metazoa; Arthropoda; Insecta; Hymenoptera; Apidae
Description: misc RNA ENSBTSG00005034407.1
Source: RNAcentral
CUCAAUGCAAUCGGACUGACCACGCUCUUACGUCGGCCACUCGUCUCCAUUAUCACCGUGGGUCGUGCAUUGACGUAAAUCUUCGUCGCCCGUAGUUGGAAGACACUAGCGACGAUGAUGGUUAGGUUUCAAGCGCCAGGAUAUUUGCGAGACACGCAGGAUGUACAUUCAUGCAAAUAAAUGGAUGUCCACUUGCAGCUCUUGUAAAUUCCAGUUUUCGUUUAAC